This 922-nucleotide ribosomal RNA is filed under the name Staphylococcus aureus. Its description in RNAcentral is "bacterial SSU rRNA". It matches the Rfam family "Bacterial small subunit ribosomal RNA", at positions 56 to 954 of the family's 1533-position model. The record is from RNAcentral. Lineage: Bacteria; Bacillati; Bacillota; Bacilli; Caryophanales; Staphylococcaceae.
UGCAGCGAGCGAAAACGGACGAGAAGCUUGCUUCUCUGAUGUUAGCUGCAGUCGAGCGAGUACGGACGAGAAGCUUGCUUCUCUGAUUGGGUUAGCGGCGGACGGGUGAGAAUAAUACCGGAUAAUAUUUUGAACCGCAUGGUUCAAAAGUGAAAGACGGUCUUGCUGUCACUUAUAGAUGGAUCCGCGCUGCAUUAGCUAGUUGGUAAGGUAACGGCUUACCAAGGCAACGAUGCAUAGCCGACCUGAGAGGGUGAUCGGCCACACUGGAACUGAGACACGGUCCAGACUCCUACGGGAGGCAGCAGUAGGGAAUCUUCCGCAAUGGGCGAAAGCCUGACGGAGCAACGCCGCGUGAGUGAUGAAGGUCUUCGGAUCGUAAAACUCUGUUAUUAGGGAAGAACAUAUGUGUAAGUAACUGUGCACAUCUUGACGGUACCUAAUCAGAAAGCCACGGCUAACUACGUGCCAGCAGCCGCGGUAAUACGUAGGUGGCAAGCGUUAUCCGGAAUUAUUGGGCGUAAAGCGCGCGUAGGCGGGUUUUUUUUAAGUCUGAUGUGAAAGCCCACGGCUCAACCGUGGAGGGUCAUUGGAAACUGGAAAACUUGAGUGCAGAAGAGGAAAGUGGAAUUCCAUGUGUAGCGGUGAAAUGCGCAGAGAUAUGGAGGAACACCAGUGGCGAAGGCGACUUUCUGGUCUGUAACUGACGCUUGAUGUGCGAAAGCGUGGGGAUCAAACAGGAUUAGAUACCCUGGUAGUCCACGCCGUAAACGAUGAGUGCUAAGUGUUAGGGGGGGGUUUUUCCGCCCCUUAGUGCUGCUGGCAAGCUAACGCAUUAAGCACCCGCCUGGGGAGUAACCGCAAUUGAAACUCAGGAAUUGACGGGGACCCGCACAACGGUGGAGCAUGUGGUUUAAUUCGA